GGGAGCUGUAUGAGCGGUAACGUCCACGUACGGUUCCGUGAGAAGGCGGUGGACAGAAAUGGCCUUGUUGUACCUCACUCUCGU
RNAcentral lists this non-coding RNA (84 nucleotides) under Salix viminalis (osier). Lineage: Eukaryota; Viridiplantae; Streptophyta; Magnoliopsida; Malpighiales; Salicaceae. The record is from RNAcentral.